AGAGUUUGAUCCUGGCUCAGGAUGAACGCUAGCGGCAGGCUUAACACAUGCAAGUCGAGGGGCAGCACGGGUAGCAAUACUUGGUGGCGACCGGCGCAAGGGUGCGUAACGCGUGAGCAACAUGCCCGUAUCAGGGGGAUAAUCCAUGGAAACGUGGUCUAAUACCCCAUAGUAAGUUUUUGGGGCAUCUCAAAGAUUUUAAAGCUUUGGUGGAUACGGAUUGGCUCGCGUGACAUUAGCUAGAUGGUAAGGUAACGGCUUACCAUGGCUACGAUGUCUAGGGGUUCUGAGAGGAAGGUCCCCCACACUGGAACUGAGACACGGUCCAGACUCCUACGGGAGGCAGCAGUGAGGAAUAUUGGACAAUGGAUGGAAAUCUGAUCCAGCCAUGCCGCGUGCAGGAAGACGGCCCUAUGGGUUGUAAACUGCUUUUGUAUGGGAGCAAUAAGGGCUACGUGUAGUCCGAUGAGAGUACCAUACGAAUAAGCACCGGCUAACCCCGUGCCAGCAGCCGCGGUAAUACGGAGGGUGCAAGCGUUAUCCGGAUUUAUUGGGUUUAAAGGGUGCGUAGGCGGUUUGAUAAGUCAGCGGUGAAAUAUUUCAGCUUAACUGGAAGGGUGCCGUUGAUACUGUCGAGCUUGAAUUUAGUUGCUGUGGGUGGAAUGUGUGGUGUAGCGGUGAAAUGCAUAGAUAUCACACAGAAUAUCGAUUGCGAAGGCAGCUCACAAAGCUAAUAUUGACGCUGAUGCACGAAAGUGUGGGGAUCAAACAGGAUUAGAUACCCUGGUAGUCG
This 793-nucleotide ribosomal RNA is filed under the name uncultured bacterium. RNAcentral describes it as "bacterial SSU rRNA". It matches the Rfam family "Bacterial small subunit ribosomal RNA", at positions 8 to 796 of the family's 1533-position model. The record is from RNAcentral.